AGCCGUGGCACUGUCAAGUCAUCAGACGCGGUGAUUGCGAGGCCUGUGGGAAAGUACAAAAGCCUGGGCUAGAUUACCCCUCUCAUCGAGCCCGCCUGUGUGGCACCUGUUUCUUAUCACCCCACUAAGUUCCCGCCUCACAGGGUAGUCUGCCUAGCUAUUAAUCCUAUAUAUAGCCAGUGCCUCCACCCCCGAGAGAGAGAGAGAGACUGAAGCACAAAAGGAGCCGCGGGGAGCGGACCGGUAGAGGCUUCGGGGCAGACUGAAGCACGGAAGGAGCCGCGGAGAGCGGACCGGUAGAGGCUUCGGGGCAGACUGUAUAAGGAGAGAAUAAAGAAAAGCCUGACCACCGCCAGACCUUGUCGUGUGUCUUUCCUGCCGGCCGGGAGCGGACACCGACAUUUGGAGGCCCGCACGGGGACUGAUCACCCCCGAGACGUGAAGUGGACAACGCUCCAGUACAGUGCUGCAAGACAGGAACCGGGACGAAAACCACUGUUGGUCCCAGAGAGGUUGACGCGACAAAGCCCUCGACUGAAGAUCAGACCUGCCCUGCCGGAGAUCCAUCACAGACCAACCAACAAGAUGAAUAGAAAUAGCGGUAGCCCAAAAUGGACAAAAAGAUCCUCAGGCAUACGCAUGGCUCGCUCGCAUGGCCUACGACCGCGUUUAAAAGUGACAGGCUUCCCACAUUCUCCUCCCUAGACAACAACAUGUAGCAGGGUGGAUGAGUCAAUGACGGGUAAGAGCGUGCCUCCCCAGCACGACUCAACCUAAGCCAGGCCCUACCCCGUUCCGCUCGAAAGCCGCUGGAUUGUUAGAUAAAUUUCUCUCCGAGGGGAUUCGUGGAGAGAAAUGAGUGCAUGCCUAUGUGCAACCAGGUUCCGUCCGGUUCAUUCCUGGCCCUAGAAAAAAGGACGAGGGCCUCAGGGCCUUGGUGGACCCUGGGACGGCCGACCAGGGUCUACGCUAAGGGCCUACGGUGGGCCUCAGUUCGGGGCAUAGGCCUCUGCACUCUAUCCAGGACGGGCUGCGAUGCGCGUAGCCAUCAUUUAAAAUAAAAUAGGGGGAGAUGUUGGGAGCCGUGGCACUGUCAAGUCAUCAGACGCGGUGAUUGCGAGGCCUGUGGGAAAGUACAAAAGCCUGGGCUAGAUUACCCCUCUCAUCGAGCCCGCCUGUGUGGCACCUGUUUCUUAUCACCCCACUAAGUUCCCGCCUCACAGGGUAGUCUGCCUAGCUAUUAAUCCUAUAUAUAGCCAGUGCCUCCACCCCCGAGAGAGAGAGAGAGACUGAAGCACAAAAGGAGCCGCGGGGAGCGGACCGGUAGAGGCUUCGGGGCAGACUGAAGCACGGAAGGAGCCGCGGAGAGCGGACCGGUAGAGGCUUCGGGGCAGACUGUAUAAGGAGAGAAUAAAGAAAAGCCUGACCACCGCCA
This is a long non-coding RNA of Cavia porcellus (domestic guinea pig), 1435 nucleotides long. RefSeq lists it as uncharacterized. Lineage: Eukaryota; Metazoa; Chordata; Mammalia; Rodentia; Caviidae. The record is from RefSeq and is a predicted model, not a curated record. The transcript is spliced from 2 exons.